Molecule: ribosomal RNA, 399 nt
Filed under: uncultured bacterium
Lineage: Bacteria
Description: bacterial SSU rRNA
Rfam family: Bacterial small subunit ribosomal RNA
Source: RNAcentral
GGAAUAUUGGACAAUGGGCGAAAGCCUGAUCCAGCAAUGCCGCGUGAGUGAUGAAGGCCCUAAGGUUGUAAAGCUCUUUUACCCGGGAUGAUAAUGACAGUACCGGGAGAAUAAGCUCCGGCUAACUCCGUGCCAGCAGCCGCGGUAAUACAGAGGGGGCGAGCGUUGUUCGGAAUUACUGGGCGUAAAGGGCGCGCAGGCGGCUGCUCAAGUCAGGCGUGAAAGGCCUGGGCUCAACCCGGGAAUUGCGCUUGAGACUGAGCUGGCUUGAGUGCGGGAGAGGAUGGUGGAAUUCCCAGUGUAGAGGUGAAAUUCGUAGAUAUUGGGAAGAACACCGGUGGCGAAGGCGGCCAUCUGGACCGUAACUGACGCUGAGGCGCGAAAGCCAGGGGAGCAAAC